Molecule: long non-coding RNA, 535 nt
Organism: Cynocephalus volans (Philippine flying lemur)
Lineage: Eukaryota; Metazoa; Chordata; Mammalia; Dermoptera; Cynocephalidae
Exons: 4
Source: RefSeq, a predicted model, not a curated record
GCCCCCUUCCCCCUGCAGCCUCAGGAUGCCAGUGGCUUCCCCCGUCUCCCGGGUGAGAUGUCCUUGGAUUCUCAGGAGUUGCAGAUACGGUGCAUGGAGUCCUUGUGAACCCUUCUCCCAGCUUCCCCCAGCGGUCAUACCUUAUGUAACUACAGCACCGCUUCAGACCAGGAGCAUGACACUGGUAAGGGACAUUUGUGCUGUGGAUGGAGCUGUCAGGAGCCUGGUGGACAAAACAUCAUGACAAAAUGAAAGGGAAAGAUGGACUUCAAACAGCAGUCUGGAGAAAAAUUGAAUUCAACAACACUAUUUAAGAUUGCAUGCAUAGAGAGUUCCGGUCAAGAUGGUGGAGUAGACAGUUCCUAGUGUUGCUCUCUCCCACAAAGCGACCAACUUGCAACUAUUAAAAAGCAACAACAGGAGACAUGAGAUCAGUGCCAAAAUAGGCGGGAGCGGCAUGCCACAGGACCCCAUCCCAGGCCAGUGUUUGCCACCCAGAGAGGCCUGAGAGCCAUGGGGGCCACACACCCUGAGA